Molecule: long non-coding RNA, 299 nt
Filed under: Ananas comosus (pineapple)
Lineage: Eukaryota; Viridiplantae; Streptophyta; Magnoliopsida; Poales; Bromeliaceae
Description: long non-coding RNA (ACOM_LNC002341)
Source: RNAcentral
UUAUAUCUAUGCGGGUAUAAAAGAUGUGAAAAUAAUUAUAAUAGAACGAGAUCAAUUCAGAAUUCAGAACCGGAAGGAGAAAAUCGUAAUGGAUUGAAAUUAUAAAUGAAAUGAUAAAGUUAUCUCAUUUAUUUUAAUUUGGUUCAAAUUAAAUUGUAGCUGGAAUGAAAGUAAAGCCAGAAUACUUUUGAAAGUAAACCGCAUCUCGACAUUUAAAUCGACGAUCGAUAUUAUUAAACGCGAUAUAAACCAUUUGAACUUCAUCAUAAAAAUCGAAUGUUUUAUGAUUUUAACCAAGU